AGAAUCAACGCUGGCGGCGUGCCUAACACAUGCAAGUCGAACGCGGUUACUACUGCUUCGCAAGAAGUAGUAGUGACUGAGUGGCGAACGGGUGAGUAACACGUGGGUGACCUGCCUUCGAGUGGGGGAUAACGUUCCGAAAGGGACGCUAAUACCGCAUGACAUCCUGCCUUUGAAGAGGUGGAUAUUAAAGCUGGGGAUCGUAAGACCUGGCGCUUGAAGAGGGGCCCGCGUCCGAUUAGCUUAGGUUGGUGGGGUAACGGCCUACCAAGGCGACGAUCGGUAGCCGGCCUGAGACGGGGCGGACGGGCC
Molecule: ribosomal RNA, 312 nt
Filed under: uncultured soil bacterium
Lineage: Bacteria
Description: bacterial SSU rRNA
Rfam family: Bacterial small subunit ribosomal RNA
Source: RNAcentral